AGUAUAUAUAUAAUGCCGAAGAGAAGGUAGGGUUUCUUUAGGUUUCCGUACCUUCUUGUUGAGCACUGUGGCGCAAUUCACCUUGCUGCGGUUGGUGGUGGCGAUGGAGAUUGCAGCGUGGCUGAAGGGAACCUACUGGGUUGGUGACAUUUACAAGAGAGUCUUGAAGAUUUUCCAGAACGGGAAAGGAAGCCAUCAUUCUUUAAAGGGCAAUGACCGAGCAGUACCAGCAGAAAUUGAAGUACCAGCAGAAGGCUAAGAAGGGAUCAUGGCACAAGUUGCAGUUUCCACCCUGCCCAUUGAAGAUGAGGAGUCCAUGGAAGAUGAGGAGUCUGUUGAAGACGAGGAGUCCGUUGAAGAUGAGUCCGCGGAGAGCAGGAUGCUGGUGAUAUUGCUCAUAUCAGCUCUCGAGUCCACGGAUCAUGGCACAAGUUGCAGUUUCCACCCUGCCCAUUGAAGAUGAGGAGUCUGUUGAAGAUGAGGAGUCCUUGGAGAGCAGGGGGAGAGUGUCUUUAGAGCAAGAAGUCUUGUCUUCUCCGUGCUCAGCCAGGAAGAAAACCUGUUUGACUUUGUUUCUCAUUGGGUUUUCUUGCUUUGCAACUAAUACAAAGCAGGGAAAAACCUGUUAAUUACCAGUGACAAAAACAGGACGCUUGCUUCCCUUCCUCCUGCCCUUGGACAUCAGACUCCAGGUUCUUACGCCUUUGAACUCUGGGACUUGCACCAGCGGCUUCCCCAAGGCUCUCAGGCCCUCGGCCUCAGACUGAAGACUGCACUGCGGGCUUUCCUGGUUUUGAGGCUUUUGGACUUGGACUGAGCCAUUACUAGCUUCUCUCUUUCCCUACCUGGCAGACAGCCUGUUGUGGGACUUUACCUUGUAACUGUGUGAGCCAAUUCUCUCUCGUAAACUCCCUUAUACAUAUACGUGUAUCCUGGUGGUUCUGUCCCUCUGGAGAACCCUGACUAAUAGAUUUUAUUUUUUCUCCGCUGCCCUUUCCUCCUCUUCUAGGCUUACCUAGACCACCACCAUUCUUUCCCCUUUUCUAAAGUAAAAGUUGUUUUUUUCUUGCUAAAUGCAUGGUAUUCUGCCUGUUUUCCAUGACUUCCUUCAGCCCUGCUCUGUUUAUUCUUGCUCUCUUAAGAGGAAAUCCCUGCCUCUUCUGUGGCUUUUCCCUCUUGGUCUACGUACUGCUUUCUAUUGUUCUCAGAGGCACACUGAGACCUUUUACAUCUCACUGUCACUUCUUGGAAGGGCUCUCUCUACCUCGUCUGCCUGCUGAGCAACCUCUUGGGGAGACACGGGCACUCUUGAGUCACUGAACUUGGGCUGUUUGGUGUUGGUAUGUUAAUUUAUCUUCUUAGACCACUUACCACUUCCUUAACUUGAAAAGAGAAGAAUAAUUAUUUUUUUCCAUGGUUGAUAUGAAGAGUAGAAAUAACUUAUACAAAAUGCAUUGCAGUUAAGUGAUGAUAAAUGGCCAUGAAUGCCCUUAUUAAUGUUAUUCUAUCAGCCUCAGCUCAGAUACCAUUUGCUCUGUGAGCUCUGCUCUGAAUCAUAUCUGCUUCUUCUCUGGGUUCCUUGUGCUCUGUUCUUAACUACUUUAAAGCAGUAAUUGUUCUGAUUCUAAUUAGUGAUCCUUCCCAAUAAAAUUUUAAUUUUGUAGAUCUCUUCCCCCCACCCCUGCCCCAGCCUAACCAGUGUUUUCUUAUUUUUUGUGUACAGGCUAUAUCACUGGUCUUCUUUUAUUUGUGGCUAAAUAAAUGUUGUGUUGGAAGAGUAAAGAGUUCCCAGUUCCAUGGGAUCUAUAGUUCUACAAAAUGAAUAUAUACAUAAUCCAUGUAAAUAUUUCACUUUUUAGACAAUUUUUUAAUUUUUAAAUGUAAUUUGUGCAUGUUUGUAUGUUAGUGAGACCAAAGAUGGUGGCGGCAGGGAGGAGGGGGGGGUCUCACCAUGUUGCCCAGGCUGGUCUUGAACUCCCCUUCAACUGCUCCCCUCCUCACCUGGCCCCCCUCACCUUGCCUCCUCCCCUCUCACUCCUAUGCCAGCCCCUGCCAUUCCCCACCCCCUCUGUAGACUGCAAGACUCAACAAGUGACUUGCUGAGCAAAGCCUGCCGAGAAGAGGUCUGUUUAGGGACACGGGAGGCCAAGUACACAAAAAGGCAAAAGAACUAGCAUGCCUUUUUCAAUGGAUGUCUGUUUUACAGGGCUGGCUUCAGAUUGUUGUUAUAGCUUUAAAUAAAAGGACCGUUUUGUCAUCUC
Long non-coding RNA from Pan troglodytes (chimpanzee), 2261 nucleotides. RefSeq lists it as uncharacterized. The transcript is spliced from 7 exons. NCBI's taxonomy places the organism in Eukaryota, Metazoa, Chordata, Mammalia, Primates, Hominidae. The record is from RefSeq and is a predicted model, not a curated record.